Molecule: unclassified non-coding RNA, 3989 nt
Filed under: Hevea brasiliensis (rubber tree)
Lineage: Eukaryota; Viridiplantae; Streptophyta; Magnoliopsida; Malpighiales; Euphorbiaceae
Source: RNAcentral
GGAGUCCAAUGACAGAGAGUGAAUAGAGAUGGGUUCGCAAGGCGGUAGAGAUGAAGAAGAGGAAGCCCUUCCUCUUUUUCAGAGGCAGCAAGCCAAGGGAAGGGUUGCCUAUAGGGUCUUUGCAUCCACGAUAUUUGUGGGCAUAUGCUUGAUUUGGAUACACAGGUUCUUAUACAUCCCAAUAGUAGGGGAAGGUGGAAGGUGGGUUUGGGUUGGCAUGUUCAUGGCUGAGCUUUGCUUCAGUUUCUUCUGGGUUUGCACUCAGUCUCUUCGAUGGAACCUCACUCUUCUUUAUCCCUUCAAACACAGUCUCUCACUGAGGUAUGAAGACAAAUUACCAGGAAUUGAUAUUUUCGUGUGCACGGCAGACCCCAUCAUAGAGCCACCGACUCUGGUGAUCAACACAAUUUUGUCGGCAAUGUCAUACAAUUAUCCGAGUGAAAAAUUAGCUGUUUAUCUCUCUGAUGAUGGCGGCUCCGACUUGACUUUCUAUGCUCUCCUUGAGGCCUCUCACUUUGCCAAAUAUUGGAUACCAUUCUGCAAGAAAAACGACAUCGAACCAAUGUCCCCCGAAGCCUACUUCGCACACAAUUCUAAUGUACAAGACAUUACAUAUGCUCAAGAAUGGUCAGUUGUUAAGAAUUUGUAUGAAGAAAUGAAGGAACGGAUUGAAUCAACUAUGGAAAGAGGUAACAUUUCAAAAGAAAUAAGGGUCAAACACAGAGGAUUUUCAGAAUGGAACUGUAAUGUAACAAAGAAAGAUCAUCAGUCUAUUGUGCAGAUUGUUCUUGAUGGAAGGGAUGAAACUGCUGUGGACAACAAUGGGUACCGAUUGCCAACACUUGUGUACGUGGCAAGAGAGAAAAGACCCCAAUAUCCUCAUCACUUCAAAGCUGGAGCCAUGAAUGCUUUGGUUAUAUAGUCCUUCCAAAUUUUUGUUAUCAAAACUAAGAAUUUUAUUUUUUCAUUGGGUUUCUUCAUGAAUAAUUCAAUUAUAUAUGCAGAUAAGAGUUGCGUCAGAGAUAAGCAAUGGACCCAUCAUUCUCAACCUAGAUUGUGAUAUGUAUGUGAACGAUUCAGAUGCAAUUAGAGAAGCUCUCUGUUUCUUCAUGGAUGAGGAGAAAGGCCAUGAAAUUGCUUAUGUGCAACAUCCUCAAAACUUCAAUAAUAUCACCAAGAAUGACCUCUAUGCAAAUUCAUUUAAUGUUUUUAAUAAGGUUGAGCUUGUUGGCAUGUGUGGAUAUGAUUCAGCAUUUUACUUGGGCACUGGAUGCUUCCAUAGAAGAGAGAGUCUCUGUGGAAAGAAUUACUCUGAGGAUAAUAAAUUGAGAUUGGACAUUAAAGAUGCUAAAAAGAAUGAUAAAAGGACUGUUAAUGAACUUGAAGAAGCUUCAAAAAUUGUUGCUAGUUGCAGCUAUGAGAAGGACACUCAAUGGGGCAAAGAGGUGUCUCUCUUUUCUUUUUUAUUAAUGUGAAGUUUUGCUAGUAGUCAUGAAGAUGAUCAUAAAUUCAUAAUCCUGCACUUGCAGAUGGGAUUGGUGUAUGGGUGUCCAGUUGAAGACAAUAUUACUGGCUUGAAAAUCCAAUGCAGGGGAUGGAAAUCAGUUUAUUAUUGUCCAAAUAAAGAAGCCUUCUUGGGUGUAGCUCCUAAUACCUUAGAAGUGGCCUUGAUUCAACACAGGAGGUGGGCUGAAGGAUUUUUUCAGAUUUUCUUAUCCAAAUAUUGCCCCUUUAUAUAUGGGCAUGGCAAGAUAAAACUUGGUGCCCAAAUGGGAUAUUGUGCGAAUCUGUUAUGGGCUCCUAUGUCUUUGCCUACACUAUACUAUGUGAUUGUUCCUCCUCUUUGCCUGCUUCAUGGCAUUCCCUUAUUCCCUCAGGCGUCAAGCCAAUGGUUUCUACCAUACGCAUAUGUUUUCAUAUCCAAGAAUGCAUACAGCAUCGUGGAGACCUGGGUUUGUGGUGGGACGAUUAAAGCUUGGUGGAACUCGCAAAGGAUGUGGGUGAUUCGAAGAACAACAGCGUAUUUUCUUGCUUUCAUUGAUACCGCUAUCAAACAAUUACGCUUAUCGCAAAUAACUUUCGCCAUUACACCAAAGGUAGUGACAGAUGAUGUGUUGAAGAGGUACGAGAAAGAGGUCAUGGAGUUCGGAAGCUCAACCACAGAGGUCACCAUUAUAGCAACUCUAGCGAUGCUAAACCUUCUCAGUUUUGUUGGGGCAAUAAUGAAGAGGAUUAUUGCCUCAGAGAUAGAUUUCAAUACUACAGAAAUGUUGAUCCCUCAGGUUAUUCUCUGCGUACUUGUGAUUAUGGUUAACUUGCCGGUGUACCAAGCUCUCUUCUCCCGCAAUGAUGAGGGACGCAUACCACAAGAUACAUUAGAUUUUUACCAAAAUAAAAAUCCCAAGGGGCUUCAGUGUCCACGAUUCAUUCCUUGGUCCUAUCGCUGGCCAGAAAGAUCUACUACACGUGGAGCCAAAUCAACAUGCCACGUCCGAUAAAUAUAGUUGUAUUGAAGCGCAGAGUAUCGGAGCCCAUUACGACAAAACACAGCGCACCACCCCAAAGUCGCGAAGUUUCAUUUUCAAGUUGGAGUUAUAUGAUAAGUUAUUUAGGCUUUCAAAGGCAACAUCAAAGAUGGGAAUAAGGCUUAAGGAGCUUUAUGCUGUUCUAUUGUUGGCACUUUUGUCGAGCCCCCAAGCAGUGUUUGGGAUUAGAUUUGUGAUUGAUAGGGAAGAAUGCUUCUCUCAUGAUGUUAAAUAUGAGGGCGAUACAGUUCAUGUUUCUUUUGUUGUCAUCAAGGCUGAUUCAUCUUGGCAUUAUACCAAUGAUGGUGUUGAUCUUGUGGUAAAGGGACCUAAUGGUGAUCAAAUCCAGGAUAUUCGUGACAAGAUAAGUGAUAAGUUUGAGUUCAUGGCUCAUCAAAGAGGAGUCCACAGUUUUUGUUUCACUAACAAGUCUCCUUACCAUGAAACCAUUGACUUUGAUGUACAUGUUGGCCAUUUUUCAUACUAUGAUGAGCAUGCAAAAGAUGAGCAUUUUAAACCUUUGUUAGAUCAGAUUUGGAAGCUAGAGGAGGCUCUUUACAACAUUCAAUUUGAACAGCAUUGGCUGGAGGCUCAGACUGAACGUCAGGCAAUAGGUCUGUUCUGGAUCUUUCAUAUGCAGUAUUUUAAUUUGAGAUGAAUGUUCUUGCUGUUUGCUUUUUUCCUUUUUGAUUCAUUACACUAUACUAGUAACAACUUUUUUUCUUGAAUUUUGUAAGUAGGAAACUGAAACUUGACCUUGAACCUAGCUCAUGCUAAAUUCUCUUAGAAACUCUUCUAGCUCUUAAUUACGUGGAAGUUAAUACUUAAUAGUCAUGUACAAAUGAACUGGUGCUAUUCAAUAGUCAUGUUAAUUUUGCAUUGUCGGGUCAACUUGAACUUAAUUUUAGUGCAAAUGAAUCCUGGACAGAAGAUUUAUCCAACACUUUCAGCUAAAUGGGACGGUCAAAUUCUCAGGUUACUUGGCCAACUGUUAUUUUGAUCUGUUUAACUAGAAAUGCAUGUGAGUAACUUGUUUGAGAUAUUAAACUGAAAAGCCAAUACUGUUGUCCUGUGGCCAUUAUAUACAUGAUUGCUAAAUGACAAAUUCUAAUAGUCCAUUUGUUCAAUUCUCAACACUUUUCCAGUUUCCACCCUUUAAUUUAGUUGAAAGGAAAUACCACCAACGAAUAAGAUAAGCCCUGGAUUGUCAGCAUUACAUAAGAUUCUCUAAGCUUAUCUUUGGCCUAGUAGGCAAAUAAAUGUAGCCGCUCUUAUCAAUCUUUUCACUGAAAUUCUUUUUGGUUGUUGCUGCAGUAAAUGAAGCAAUGGGCCGCAGGGCUAUUCACAAAGCUUUAUAUGAAUCUGCAGCACUAAUUGGUGCUAGCGUUCUGCAAGUUUACCUUCUUCGCCGGCUGUUCGAACGGAAGCUUGGAAUGUCCAGAGUUUAAGCACUACUGCAGAAUA